CUGCUCGGGUCGGGCUGGGUAUCGGUCGGCGGGUGGCAGAAUUCAGCCCUUCUACAGUCAAGAUUGUGUUGCUCUCUGAAGAUGUAAACCUUAAGUUUUAUUAUAUUUUUAUUAAGAGACAUAUGCAAAAUCAAAAGUUGAACAGAAGGCUGUUACUCCCAUUAAGAAGAGGUAUGACAGGGAAAAGCAAACAAGGAAAAUGAAGAAUGGUGUUCCCUUUAAAUUAGAACAAAUUUUUGUCCUGGAAUAGAAGAUGGAGCAAGAAGAUGAGUGCUUUCAAGGGAAAGUGUGUUAAGUGCUGAAGACAUUGACUACAUUGUUUAAGAACACUUCAUGCUUACUUAAUGACUGAUUACUCAGUAACGUUCCCAAGGUCAGCCAAACCUUGGGUAUCUGUCAUCUGAAUGCCAGUUCCAUGAAUUAAAGUGACCCAAAUUGCA
Strigops habroptila (Kakapo) is the source of this 440-nucleotide long non-coding RNA. RefSeq lists it as uncharacterized. The record is from RefSeq and is a predicted model, not a curated record. The transcript has 2 exons. NCBI's taxonomy places the organism in Eukaryota, Metazoa, Chordata, Aves, Psittaciformes, Psittacidae.